CACGGGCCCUACAACCUGCUGGGCUGGCGCCUGAGCACGGUGCUGGCGCUCGAGGUGCAGCGCCAGCUCGAGGCGGCUGGCAAGCGCGGUGUGCUUUUCCUGGUGCACGGCGACGUCACCAGGGUGCAACAGUGGGCCCAGCAGCGCCUCGGCGGCGACGCCGCUGACGGUGUCCGGGAUGGGCUCGUGAACGGCGAGGCGGCUCGAGCUGAGGAGGGAGCUCAGGUCCUCGACGAACUCCUGGAGGCCGUCGCGGCGCACAAGUCUGACGUAUCCCGGCCCUUCGCCGGCUACGUGAAAAUCGUCCGCACCGGCGAGGAUGAGCUGCAGUCGCUGGGACAGAGCGACAAGGACCCCCACGUCAAGGUGCAGACCCUCGCGGACCGCAGCCUGGACAGCGAGGCGCUGGCCGCCUUCAUCAACGAGAACGCUGCUUGGUCGCAGCUCGCUGGCGAGGCCGACCUGCGCCUCGCCAUUAACCUAGCGAGCUCGUCGCUCUAAUAUUUAGAAUUAGAAUGGUUGAUAUUAAAUGUGCAUAUUAAUUUUUAAA
This is a long non-coding RNA of Frankliniella occidentalis (western flower thrips), 550 nucleotides long. RefSeq lists it as uncharacterized. The transcript is spliced from 2 exons. The record is from RefSeq and is a predicted model, not a curated record. Lineage: Eukaryota; Metazoa; Arthropoda; Insecta; Thysanoptera; Thripidae.